Molecule: non-coding RNA, 47 nt
Organism: Otolemur garnettii (small-eared galago)
Lineage: Eukaryota; Metazoa; Chordata; Mammalia; Primates; Galagidae
Source: Rfam
CCAAAGGCUCUUUUCAGAGCCACGCACUGUUUUCCUGAAAGAGCUGU